Small nucleolar RNA from Gigantopelta aegis, 77 nucleotides. Lineage: Eukaryota; Metazoa; Mollusca; Gastropoda; Neomphalida; Peltospiridae. The record is from RefSeq and is a predicted model, not a curated record.
CUGUAAUGAUGUAAAAUAUAAUUUGUUCUGAUUUUAAUUGAUGUUCUCAUAAAAUCGAGCUGUUAAGUCUGAAUAGA